GGGCUUUAUAGGGUAAUACAAUGGGGGUGUGCUAUGUUCAAUUACCACAGCAAGCACUUUACUUUGGGUUGGUCAAGUAAGGAAUAACCAAGAGGAA
Nanorana parkeri is the source of this 97-nucleotide long non-coding RNA. RefSeq lists it as uncharacterized. The record is from RefSeq and is a predicted model, not a curated record. The transcript has 3 exons. NCBI's taxonomy places the organism in Eukaryota, Metazoa, Chordata, Amphibia, Anura, Dicroglossidae.